CCUGGAAACAUUGCCUCAUAAUGGAAAAGCUGAUUUCUGACCCUGGCUGAGCCAAUGAUCUAGACAAAUGGUAAAGAAGUCUAGAGUUGUGAAGCUGUGUCUCUCAUAAUGUUGUGUCUGAAAUUGUACAGGAAAAUCGAAAAAUAUCUACAUGACUUGGAAAGGGAAACUUUCUGGAGUGACACUAAGGAUAAUGAUGUUUCGCACUCACCAAAGGGGACUGAAGAAUCAUCCCCCACAGAUACAGGCCUCCAGGGCAAUAUACCUUUACAACCAGAGACCACAAGAGUGUCACCAUCCAUAGAAAAACAG
Long non-coding RNA from Carassius carassius (crucian carp), 312 nucleotides. RefSeq lists it as uncharacterized. Lineage: Eukaryota; Metazoa; Chordata; Actinopteri; Cypriniformes; Cyprinidae. The record is from RefSeq and is a predicted model, not a curated record. The transcript has 3 exons.